Molecule: transfer RNA, 76 nt
Filed under: Gammaproteobacteria bacterium
Lineage: Bacteria; Pseudomonadati; Pseudomonadota; Gammaproteobacteria
Description: tRNA-Ala
Rfam family: tRNA
About the family: Transfer RNA (tRNA) molecules are approximately 80 nucleotides in length. Their secondary structure includes four short double-helical elements and three loops (D, anti-codon, and T loops). Further hydrogen bonds mediate the characteristic L-shaped molecular structure. tRNAs have two regions of fundamental functional importance: the anti-codon, which is responsible for specific mRNA codon recognition, and the 3' end, to which the tRNAs corresponding amino acid is attached (by aminoacyl-tRNA synthetases). tRNAs cope with the degeneracy of the genetic code in two manners: having more than one tRNA (with a specific anti-codon) for a particular amino acid; and 'wobble' base-pairing, i.e. permitting non-standard base-pairing at the 3rd anti-codon position.
Source: RNAcentral
GGGGCCAUAGCUCAGCUGGGAGAGCACCUGCCUUGCAAGCAGGGGGUCGGCGGUUCGAUUCCGCCUGGCUCCACCA